CCUACGUGAGGCAGCAGUGGGGAAUAUUGCACAAUGGGGGAAACCCUGAUGCAGCAACGCCGCGUGAAGGAAGACGGUUUUCGGAUUGUAAACUUCUGUUCUUAGUGAAGAAUAAUGACGGUAGCUAAGGAGCAAGCCACGGCUAACUACGUGCCAGCAGCCGCGGUAAUACGUAGGUGGCAAGCGUUGUCCGGAAUUACUGGGUGUAAAGGGAGCGUAGGCGGACUUUUAAGUGAGAUGUGAAAUACUCGGGCUCAACUUGAGUGCUGCAUUUCAAACUGGAAGUCUAGAGUGCAGGAGAGGAGAAUGGAAUUCCUAGUGUAGCGGUGAAAUGCGUAGAGAUUAGGAAGAACACCAGUGGCGAAGGCGAUUCUCUGGACUGUAACUGACGCUGAGGCUCGAAAGCGUGGGGAGCAAACAGGAUUAGAUACCCCGGUAGUC
RNAcentral lists this ribosomal RNA (441 nucleotides) under uncultured bacterium. Its description in RNAcentral is "partial 16S ribosomal RNA". It matches the Rfam family "Bacterial small subunit ribosomal RNA", at positions 338 to 795 of the family's 1533-position model. The record is from RNAcentral.